Molecule: ribosomal RNA, 254 nt
Filed under: uncultured bacterium
Lineage: Bacteria
Description: partial 16S ribosomal RNA
Rfam family: Bacterial small subunit ribosomal RNA
Source: RNAcentral
UACGUAGGGGUCUAGCGUUGUCCGGAAUCAUUGGGCGUAAAGGGCGCGUAGGCGGUCAGCACAUGUCAGUUGUGAAAUCUCCGGGCUUAACCCGGAAAGGUCAACUGAUACUGUGCGACUAGAGUGCGGAAGGGGCAACUGGAAUUCUCGGUGUAGCGGUGAAAUGCGUAGAUAUCGAGAGGACCACCUGCGGCGAAGGCGGGUUGCUGGGCCGACACUGACGCUGAUGCGCGAAAGCCAUGGGAGCGAACGGG